GAUGAACGCUGGCGGCGUGCCUAAUACAUGCAAGUCGAGCGAACAGACGAGGAGCUUGCUCCUCUGACGUUAGCGGCGGACGGGUGAGUAACACGUGGAUAACCUACCUAUAAGACUGGGAUAACUUCGGGAAACCGGAGCUAAUACCGGAUAAUAUAUUGAACCGCAUGGUUCAAUAGUGAAAGACGGUUUUGCUGUCACUUAUAGAUGGAUCCGCGCCGCAUUAGCUAGUUGGUAAGGUAACGGCUUACCAAGGCAACGAUGCGUAGCCGACCUGAGAGGGUGAUCGGCCACACUGGAACUGAGACACGGUCCAGACUCCUACGGGAGGCAGCAGUAGGGAAUCUUCCGCAAUGGGCGAAAGCCUGACGGAGCAACGCCGCGUGAGUGAUGAAGGGCUUCGGAUCGUAAAACUCUGUUAUUAGGGAAGAACAAAUGUGUAAGUAACUAGGCACGUCUUGACGGUACCUAAUCAGAAAGCCACGGCUAACUACGUG
Molecule: ribosomal RNA, 497 nt
Filed under: uncultured bacterium
Lineage: Bacteria
Description: partial 16S ribosomal RNA
Rfam family: Bacterial small subunit ribosomal RNA
Source: RNAcentral